RNAcentral lists this transfer RNA (72 nucleotides) under Phrynosoma platyrhinos (Desert horned lizard). RNAcentral describes it as "tRNA-OTHER". The record is from RNAcentral. Lineage: Eukaryota; Metazoa; Chordata; Lepidosauria; Squamata; Phrynosomatidae.
GCCUGCAUGGUGUAGUGGUUUGAGCGUUGGACUUCAACUCUGGAGACCAGUGUUCAGUUCCCUGCUCGGCCA